Molecule: ribosomal RNA, 361 nt
Filed under: uncultured bacterium
Lineage: Bacteria
Description: bacterial SSU rRNA
Rfam family: Bacterial small subunit ribosomal RNA
Source: RNAcentral
GACGAACGCUGGCGGCGUGCUUAACACAUGCAAGUCGAACGAUGAAGCCUUCGGGUGGAUUAGUGGCGAACGGGUGAGUAACACGUGGGUAAUCUGCCCUGCACUCUGGGAUAAGCCUUGGAAACGGGGUCUAAUACCGGAUAUCACACUUCUAGGCAUCUAGUGGUGUUGAAAGUUUUGGCGGUGCAGGAUGAACCCGCGGCCUAUCAGCUUGUUGGUGGGGUAAUGGCCACCAAGGCGACGACGGGUAGCCGGCCUGAGAGGGUGACCGGCCACACUGGGGCUGAGACACGGCCCAGACUCCUACGGGAGGCAGCAGUGGGGAAUAUUGCACAAUGGGCGAAAGCCUGAUGCAGCGACG